Molecule: ribosomal RNA, 557 nt
Filed under: Bacillus pumilus
Lineage: Bacteria; Bacillati; Bacillota; Bacilli; Caryophanales; Bacillaceae
Description: bacterial SSU rRNA
Rfam family: Bacterial small subunit ribosomal RNA
Source: RNAcentral
GCCCCUUAGUGCUGCAGCUAACGCAUUAAGCACUCCGCCUGGGGAGUACGGUCGCAAGACUGAAACUCAAAGGAAUUGACGGGGGCCCGCACCAGGGGUGGAGCAUGUGGUUUAAUUCGAAGCAACGCGAAGAACCUUACCAGGUCUUGACAUCCUCUGACAACCCUAGAGAUAGGGCUUUCCCUUCGGGGACAGAGUGACAGGUGGUGCAUGGUUGUGCGUCAGCUCGUGUCGUGAGAUGUUGGGUUAAGUCCCGCAACGAGCGCAACCCUUGAUCUUAGUUGCCAGCAUUCAGUUGGGCACUCUAAGGUGACUGCCGGUGACAAACCGGAGGAAGGUGGGGAUGACGUCAAAUCAUCAUGCCCCUUAUGACCUGGGCUACACACGUGCUACAAUGGACAGAACAAAGGGCUGCGAGACCGCAAGGUUUAGCCAAUCCCACAAAUCUGUUCUCAGUUCGGAUCGCAGUCUGCAACUCGACUGCGUGAAGCUGGAAUCGCUAGUAAUCGCGGAUCAGCAUGCCGCGGUGAAUACGUUCCCGGGCCUUGUACACACGG